This 72-nucleotide transfer RNA is filed under the name Candidatus Diapherotrites archaeon ADurb.Bin253. RNAcentral's name for it is "tRNA-Asp". It matches the Rfam family "tRNA". From Rfam's summary of the family: Transfer RNA (tRNA) molecules are approximately 80 nucleotides in length. Their secondary structure includes four short double-helical elements and three loops (D, anti-codon, and T loops). Further hydrogen bonds mediate the characteristic L-shaped molecular structure. tRNAs have two regions of fundamental functional importance: the anti-codon, which is responsible for specific mRNA codon recognition, and the 3' end, to which the tRNAs corresponding amino acid is attached (by aminoacyl-tRNA synthetases). tRNAs cope with the degeneracy of the genetic code in two manners: having more than one tRNA (with a specific anti-codon) for a particular amino acid; and 'wobble' base-pairing, i.e. permitting non-standard base-pairing at the 3rd anti-codon position. The record is from RNAcentral. RNAcentral also lists the same sequence under 3 other names. Lineage: Archaea; Nanobdellati; Candidatus Iainarchaeota.
GCCUCGAUAGUUUAGUGGCUAAAACACUUGCCUGUCGCGCAGGAGUCCCGGGUUCGAUUCCCGGUCGGGGCG